This 1333-nucleotide long non-coding RNA is filed under the name Olea europaea subsp. europaea. The record is from RNAcentral. Lineage: Eukaryota; Viridiplantae; Streptophyta; Magnoliopsida; Lamiales; Oleaceae.
UGUGAACCCAAUUAAUUUCAUCGAAGUAGACGUCAAUUACUUAACAUCGGCCGUUCAUUGAAGUCGCAAAAGUUAGAUAGCAUGUAGCUAUUGCAAGGAGCUACAAUUAUUAUACAAAGCUAAGUUGUUCAUUCACUUAACACAUACACAAAAUGCCUUAAAGCUAAUGAAACAUUAACCGUUGUCAAGCCGACCCUUUCCCUUUUGCGUUUGCAUUCGCAAUGCCUUUUCCCUUAUGGAUUGUCACAUUCACAGAAAUACGUAUUUCUUCUUCGUCGUUCUGUCAAACUUGAGAUUGGAACAUGCGGGCCAUAUUGUCAGAUGUUUCAUUCGCCACUUCUUCAGCCUUUGUAAUGCUAACGGUACUUGACUCACUAGUUGCUUCACAUUUUUCGCACCACUCCCAAAACCCGUACUUUAUACUGCAACAUUGAAACAUUUGCCUUUGUUAGCAGUCUCUUUUUCGACCACAAAAAACUUCUGAAACCCAUUGGUACACCGUGGACAUUGACGCUUUAUUGGGCAAUCGAUGAAGAAGUGUCCCUUGCUCCUGCACCCGCGACAUACUCCAGAAUUCUUACCCAUCAUUCUAAGAACGCAAACAUAGAGAAUUAUGAAUGAGCAUACCAUAAGAAAUGAAAUAAUACUCCUCAAAUUCCAUUCAACAGCAACUCGAACAGCAAGAAACAUUUCUCAAUGGAUAAAAUUCAACAGCAACUCAAAAGGCAGGGAACGCAACUCCAAAUGCAAGAAACAAUUCUCGUCAAAUUCACAGCAACUCAAAAUGCAAGAAACAGAUGUCCUAGGAGAAUUAAUCAAUCUACAGAAAGUUCAAUUUUAUUUUUUUUUAAAUAUUUCACAACAGAUGCACUUUUAAUGCAAUGAGUUCAGAGCAAUACAACAUAUACAAACUUGGAAAAUAUAUUUUCAUGGCCUGAUGCAAAGUCGGAUGACACCCAAAAACAUAAAUUUUAAAAAAUAGGGUGAAAUCACAUAAUAGAAUUAUUGGAGAACGAACAAUUCGCAUUAGCACUUUGAUUCGCAUAAUAUUGCAGAUAAAUCACUAAUUAAACCACACACUUGUCUUUUGAGUCGUAAUACCGUGUACGAAGUACGAUUUGUUGCACGCUUGAGGUGGGUCUUCGUUGUUUCGUGAUGGCCGAACUGUUCAGAUGGCAUUGGCUUCGUCGAACGGUGAAAUGUGGACAAUCGGCCGGAAUCGAAGAGUGUGCCGGAAGAAAACUUAGCAGCCAGCAAGAUUGAAUUUUCAGGGAAACGGUGUCGUCUUCUUGGAGGAUUUGAGAUUGGGAAAGUGAGGGGAGAGAGAGGGCUU